ACGGAAGGCAGCAGUGAGGAAUAUUGGUCAAUGGGCGGAAGCCUGAACCAGCCAAGUCGCGUGAAGGAUGAAGGUAUUAUGUAUUGUAAACUUCUUUAGUCGCAGGGAAAUAAGGCGGACGCGUCCGCUGAUGCUAGUAUGCGAAGAAUAAGGAUCGGCUAACUCCGUGCCAGCAGCCGCGGUAAUACGGAGGAUCCGAGCGUUAUCCGGAUUUAUUGGGUUUAAAGGGUGCGCAGGCGGUCUUUUAAGUCAGUGGUCAAGUCGUGGGGCUCAACCCCAUCCCGCCAUUGAUACUGGAGGACUUGAUUGCGGUCGAGGUUGGCGGAAUUCGUCGUGUAGCGGUGAAAUGCAUAGAUAUGACGAAGAACACCGAUUGCGUAGGCAGCUGACCAGGCCGUAAAUGACGCUCAUGCACGAAAGUGCGGGGAUCGAACAGGAUUAGAUACCCUGGUA
RNAcentral lists this ribosomal RNA (453 nucleotides) under uncultured Porphyromonadaceae bacterium. RNAcentral's name for it is "partial 16S ribosomal RNA". It matches the Rfam family "Bacterial small subunit ribosomal RNA", at positions 341 to 792 of the family's 1533-position model. Lineage: Bacteria; Pseudomonadati; Bacteroidota; Bacteroidia; Bacteroidales; Porphyromonadaceae. The record is from RNAcentral.